UCGUCAAGACUCCCACUAUCACUAGGUGUCAAUUCUUCAGAUCUUCGACCAAGGAUCAGACAUGACUUUAUCCUAUCAAGUAAGGAAGCUGUGGAUAUAUAUUGGAAAACUUUGGAGUAUUGUUACGCCACUGCUGAUCCUUCUGCUGCAGUGCAUGCUUUCCCUGGUUCUGCUGUACAUGAGGUGUUUCUUUAUCGAUCAUGGGCUUCCAUUCGGGUUAUGACAGCUGAUCAGCGUGCGCUGCUGCUCAAACGUGUAGUUCAAGAUGACCUAGCAAAUAAGAUUUCUUUCAAGGACUGUGUACAGAUUGCCAGAGAUUUAAAUCUCACCCUAGAACAGGUGCUUCGUGUCUCUAAUGAUAAAAAAACAGUCACGUCUUUAUAGAUUCCAAACAGAUUUCGAUAAUCACAAGCUGGAUUCUCAACCAGAAACAAGUAAAUGCAGAUCUCGGAAAAGGAAGAAAAGAUCCAAAACAAAGUCAUCGAAACAUAGAAAAUCCGUAAAUCGAGAAUCAGGUAUGUUAAAAAGCCCAUUAUCUGAAAGUAAUUGCGAGGAUACAGAAGAAGAAAAUCCCAUUACAACUGAUCUUGAAGACCAUGACAUUCAUUUUCAAGAAGGCGAAGAGGAGAUACAAGCAGAAGAUGGAGAAGAACUGGGAACAAAUGGAGAGGGCCAAGAUGACAAUUGUGAUUUUAUCAGCCAGUGUGCCUUUCCCAAACCAACUCGUCACUCAAAAUUUGUGUGGACCGAGGCGUCAGAUAGGCAACUGGUGAUUCAGUACGUAAGAUACCGUGCGGAACUUGGGGCCAAAUUUUAUCGCACUUUUUGGGCCACUCUACCUGACCUUCCUGCACCCCUGGAAGCCUGCAGGAGAAGAAUGGCAACCCUGAAAAAAAUUCCAGAAUUUAGAACUGCGAUAAUGAGGCUAUGUAACCUGCUCGGUUUUCGAUAUGUCAACCAUCUGCUAAAAUCUAAGGAGAAGGAACUCCAGUUUAAUUCUGGAAAUACUUUUCAGGAUUCUUCAAGGAAAAAAUGUGCUACUGGCAAUUUCUCUGACUGUCUUGAAAGAAAUUUGGAGUCAGAUUUCGAGGACCAAAUAUGGGAUGAUUUUGAGGAUCAAAAAGUAAGAAGGGAUCUUGACGAGGUGCUGCCUUUGAUGCUUACGGGUGGCGAAGGCAGAAGGUGGUAAGCGAGCUGGAACUUCACCUGAAAGACAUUUGGAAUCUCAAGCUCGUGAUUUCCAAGAGCAGCCAACCACCACUAGUGGCGAGGAAAUGCAUAUUUAUGGAGGAAAACAACAAAAAAGAACUAAGUGCCAUCGUCUGCCUGGAAAGUUCCUGAAGCUUCUUAAUGAAGGAAUCAGUGUUAGCAGAAGGGCAUACGAAUCCCUGGCUGUUGCCAAUGCUGUAGAACUCCUUAAGCUUGUAUUUUUGAGCAUAUCAACUGCACCUGAGGUGCCCAAUUUGCUGGCAGAGACUCUGCGUCGUUAUUCUGAGCAUGACCUAUUUGCAGCUUUUAAUUACCUCAGACAGAAACAAUUCAUGGUGGGUGGAAAUGGCAGUUAGCCCUUUGUACUGUCUCAACAAUUUAUGCACAGUGUUUCAUCUUCUCCAUUUCCAGUGGACACUGGAAAGAGGGCUUCUAAGUUUGCUCGUUGGCUGAGUGAAAGAGAAAAAAGUCUGAUGGAAGAGGGGAUUCAUCUUAAUGCUGAUUUACAGUGUGGUGAUAUUUUCCAAUUGUUAGCUUUAGUUUCUUCUGGAGAGCUGUGCAUUUCACCACGCUUGCCGGAGGAAGGUGUUGGAGAUGUUGAGGAGAAGAGAAACUCUAAAAGAAAAACUUAUGAGGAUGAGAUAUGUAACAAUGAUCAAGCUAAAAAGCCUGCCGAGGGGGAAUGUAGCACCCGCAGAGAGAAAGGUUUUCCUGGUAUAAAUGUAUCCUUAAUCGUGCAGUAAUUCCGAGAGCUGACUGUGGGGAAGUUUCCAAUAAUGAAAAGACGCAUGUCCAUCUCGGGUCGAUGAAAAUGACCAAUCCUUUUGUACGGCAAUGGGUAUUGGUGGUGAUGGCUCUUUUAUUUCUGUGAAGCUAAAUUCACGAAAUGAUGUUGGCGAUUCUGCUGCAUCAUCAGUGACAGUGACCCCAUGGAAAGCUAUGGCUGAUUAUGCUGAAUAUUUGAUGUCCAAUCUUUCUGAUGAGGAUCGAGUGGGACCUUUAUUUCCUGAAAUCUUCCAGAAUUUUCAUUCUUCUAUACUUAAAUCUGGUGACCAAGGGUUGAGCAUGCUGGAAAUUUCCAAAGUUGCAGCUAUUAGGGGGAAAAGAUGGCUGAACUUGUUGUAGAUGUGCUUCAAGUAUUUGGAUUAGCUAUGAGGGUCAACGGAUACGACGAUGUUCAUGUUGUUGAUACUUCAUUCCGUUCGAAGUACUUUUGUCCUCUGCUGACGGUCGUUAUCAGAACAUAAAGUCUUCCCCACACAGAAAGCGUCCAAGGAUAUUGGGAAAAGGAUGUUACUAACAUGGAGUCUGAUGUUGUGCAUAAAGUAACUAUGCUCAAUCUACCCGAAGACGUUUCUCAACUCUCGGUCGAACGUCAACCUCAUGAAGUAGAUGUUACAUUUCAAGAUUCUGCGCAGGUCAAAGUUGUUUCUUCAGAACGACAGAGAGAAAAUACCGAAUAUACAAUGACUUCGAGUGAUUCUCAUUCAUUUAGACCCAUAUUGCCAUGGAUAAAUGGUGGUGGAACAACUAACCAUAUCGUCUACGAGGGACUUAUACGGUGGGUCCUUGGAAUAGUGAUGCAAAAUCCUGGUAUUCUAGAGUAUGACGUUAUCCAGCAGAUGAACACAUUGAAUCCUCAGAACUGUAGAAAGCUGUUGGGGCUGAUGGUUCUUGAUAACCACCUUAUUGUGAAGAAAAUGUACCAAACUACUUAGGCUGGGCCUCCUGGAUUACUGAGCCUCUUCUGUAAGAGUUUCAGGCAAUCGGAGUCGAUAUAUAGAGAUCAUGAGUUCUUCCCUCUUAUAGGAAAUGGUCUUUCCAUGUAUCUGAACUAAUGUU
Long non-coding RNA from Papaver somniferum (opium poppy), 3051 nucleotides. RefSeq lists it as uncharacterized. The transcript has 10 exons. Lineage: Eukaryota; Viridiplantae; Streptophyta; Magnoliopsida; Ranunculales; Papaveraceae. The record is from RefSeq and is a predicted model, not a curated record.